GGGCUAUCACAAAUUUUCGAGUUUUAUACGAGUUUUGAUGCGUCAUUAUGCUUUGGAUAUAGUCACAAAAAAAAAACAAAAAUAAGAUUAAGAAAGUUUGAUCAUUUAUCUUGGGGCUGUUUUCAAUAAAUAUUUUAAUUUGUCCACGUACAUCAGCAAAAUCUUUGUCUCUGCAAAGGAUGUUUCAUAAAAUGUUGCUUUUGGGAAUCUUUUGAUGCUUCAGUACUACGAGGAUAUAGCAAUUUAACCAUUUAUAAAAAUGUUCAAGAUACAACUAUAUCUUGUACUUGUGCUUGCUUACACCAAUUUAUUACAAUUCAUACAGUAAUACACCAAAAAUAAUUCUAUAAAACUGAGAGUUACUGACAAUUUUCCGUACAAAACUAUAUUUUUUAUCUAUGAAAGUAUAAUCCAAAUUCAAAUAAAACAUAUUUAAUAAUUAAGGUGGUAUUGUUAUAAAGCUUGAAAAAAAAAAUUGGUCUAUUUAAAAGUAAAACAAUAUUUUAAAAUAAUUUUUGUUUGCAAUGCAAAAAUCAAUAUAAAUCUUGUGACGCGCGGUGUUCAACUUUAGUCAGCGCCAAGCGCUUAUCGAGGGAGGACGUAUCGCUCGCUGUUGCGCCGCGCAAACUCGCCGGAGCUCGAAAAAUAUAGCGCAACCUGCGCAACGAACUCGUUUUGAUACUAGAUAAUGAAAGCAUAUUUAAUUCAGAUUAUCAGACUCAAUCGGAUACCAGUACAAAUAAUAUGGAAAAUGAAGAUACAAUACAUGGAAGACGAAUUAUAGAUUUUAGUUUUUUUAUAAAUCAAUUACUUAUACCUAAUUGAUAAACAUGGUGAAAAGUUUGGUUGUCGAUUAAAUAAUUUAAAAAUAGUAAACGAUUAUUUGUUUAUU
Long non-coding RNA from Helicoverpa armigera (cotton bollworm), 892 nucleotides. RefSeq lists it as uncharacterized. The record is from RefSeq and is a predicted model, not a curated record. The transcript has 3 exons. NCBI's taxonomy places the organism in Eukaryota, Metazoa, Arthropoda, Insecta, Lepidoptera, Noctuidae.